This 343-nucleotide ribosomal RNA is filed under the name uncultured Lactobacillus sp. Its description in RNAcentral is "bacterial SSU rRNA". It matches the Rfam family "Bacterial small subunit ribosomal RNA", at positions 200 to 526 of the family's 1533-position model. Lineage: Bacteria; Bacillati; Bacillota; Bacilli; Lactobacillales; Lactobacillaceae. The record is from RNAcentral.
AAAAAAGGCGGCGUAAGCUGUCGCUAUGGGAUGGCCCCGCGGUGCAUUAGCUAGUUUGGUAAGGUAAAGGCUUACCAAGGCGAUGAUGCAUAGCCGAGUUGAGAGACUGAUCGGCCACAUUGGGACUGAGACACGGCCCAAACUCCUACGGGAGGCAGCAGUAGGGAAUCUUCCACAAUGGACGCAAGUACUGAUGGAGCAACGCCGCGUGAGUGAAGAAGGUUUUCGGAUCGUAAAGCUCUGUUGUUGGUGAAGAAAGGAUAGAGGUAGUAACUGGCCUUUAUUUGACGGUAAUCAACCAGAAAGUCACGGGCUAACUACGUGCCAGCAGCCGCGGUAAAAU